AAUACAAUAAAGGAAUCAGAACUGUAGGCCAAUGGCCCAAAAUGCAUAAGCUCAGGCACACAACUACAACAUAACAGCACCGGGACUCAACACUCUACUUCACUCUCGGCGAGGAUUGCAUGAACGAACCCUAGUCUCCUUUUCCCCUCAAGCAUUGAAACCUCUGUCGCAAACUCUUUGACUUGUCUCCAAUGGAUCCCAAAAAAGAUUGACACUGGCUCCAAAGAUUUGAUCAGCAGUCUACCAGACGCACUUAUCGGCCACAUCUUAUCCUUCCUCUCCACAAAGGACGCUGCUUUGACCUCAGUCCUCUCCAAAAGGUGGAGAAAUCUGAUAGCUUUUGUAACAAAUCUCGAUCUCGACAACACCAUCUACGACCGUCCUAAAAUGGGUAGAAAGAGAAGACUUCAUCUGCGUAAAAGCUUCAGGCUUUUUGUGGAAAGACUCAUGUCGUUACAAGGAAACGCUCCGUUGAACAAAGUCUCUCUAAGAUGUAGAAUUGGAUCUGAUCCAUCUCGUGUCAAUGGUUGGUUACUCAAAGUGUUGGAGCGCGGCGUAGUUGAUCUUGAUCUAUUCAUCUCUUCGGCAGACAAGUAUCCGUUGCCUCCGCAGGUUUUAAUGAGCAAGACGUUGGUUAGGCUGAAAGUAGCUGGAACAGAUCAGUUUGUCAUUGAUGUCAGAGAUGUUUCUCUUCCAGAGCUCAAGACUUUGCAUAUGAAUGAUGUUUCCUUUGCUGAUGAGAGUGGUGCUGCGUUUGCUAAGCUAGUUUCUGGCUGUCACGCGCUUGAGGAGUUGGUUAUUGUUAAAAUGUAUUGGGACUUUCGUGGCUCCUGCUCUGUCUCAAACUCAAAUCUCAAGAGACUAACGAUCUGUACUGAGAACAUUGAUGAGACUUCAGAGAGUGUAUCUUUCGACACUCCUAAUCUCGUCUACUUGGAAUUUACAGACAUUGUUGCGGCCAAGUAUCCAAAAGUGAAUCUUGAUUCGCUUGUCGAAGCUAGUGUAGGCAUUAGAAUGACACCUAACCAGGUCUUUCGCGGAAGAGAUCUAGUCAACCGGCAUUACGGUUAUAAGUUAAGGAAAGACGUCAAUGCAACAGAUUUUCUCGUGGGAAUAAGUAAUGUUAAGAUCCUUUACCUAUCGUCGCAGGCUCUUGAGGUCCUUACUUUCUGCUGUAAAGAGAUACCAGUCUUCAACAACCUGAUUCAUUUAACCAUUGAGACUGACCAAGACGUGGACUGGGAGUCAUUGCCGAACCUACUCAAGAACUGUCCUAAUAUAGAAACCCUUGUUUUCGAAGGACUGCAUUAUGGAGACACAAAUCAAUGUGAAGAUGAUGGAUACCGUUUCAAAGAUACAAACGAAUGUUUUGUGACGGGUGCGGACAGGUGUGUAUGCAAACCUUGGUUAGGCACUCCGAGUUGGCUAUCAUCAAGUCCUGUGAAGAAGCUGAAGGUGUUGAAGUUUGGAGAGAUCACUAAUCGUAAGGAUGACAUGGAUAAGCAGACGGAUCUGAUCAACUACUUUGUGGAAACAAUGCCGAAUCUUGAAGAAGUGGUGUUAUACUAUGAUACUCCGUUUGACAGUGAUCUGGAAAUAGUAUCAAAUGAAUUUCAACAGCUUGAGAAGGUAGCCUCAACCAAAUGCAAGAUCCAAGUAAUCUCUGAUAACAUUAGCAUCUCAACUACUGUGUACUCUACUCAAGCAACAAGUAGGCUCGCCUUCUUUAAGAAUAGAUUCCCGGUUUGAAGAUCUUCCUGCUUCCUAUCUCAGAUAAGAGCAGCAAAGCCUUGCUUCUUAGGGUUAUUCAUGUUAAUGAUAUGCGUCUUCCCGUCGUAUGUGUUCUACUCUAAUCACAUUGGUCCCACUCACCAAUUAUACGAGAUCGUUUCCGAGCUGUACUUGCUCCCACUCACCACUUAUACGAUAUCGUUUGACAUUGGAAGCCACCCAUCCCGCCACAU
RNA transcript from Raphanus sativus (radish), 1964 nucleotides. It is a transcript of the gene named F-box/LRR-repeat protein At3g59190-like, with no coding region annotated. Lineage: Eukaryota; Viridiplantae; Streptophyta; Magnoliopsida; Brassicales; Brassicaceae. The record is from RefSeq and is a predicted model, not a curated record. The transcript has 5 exons.